This 460-nucleotide ribosomal RNA is filed under the name uncultured bacterium. Its description in RNAcentral is "partial 16S ribosomal RNA". It matches the Rfam family "Bacterial small subunit ribosomal RNA", at positions 338 to 795 of the family's 1533-position model. The record is from RNAcentral.
CCUACGGGAGGCAGCAGUGAGGAAUAUUGGUCAAUGGACGAGAGUCUGAACCCGCCAAGUAGCGUGAAGGAUGACUGCCCUAUGGGUUGUAAACUUCUUUUAUAUGGGAAUAAAAUGUUCCACGUGUGGGAUUUUGUAUGUACCAUAUGAAUAAGGAUCGGCUAACUCCGUGCCAGCAGCCGCGGUAAUACGGAGGAUCCGAGCGUUAUCCGGAUUUAUUGGGUUUAAAGGGAGCGUAGGUGGAUUGUUAAGUCAGUUGUGAAAGUUUGCGGCGCAACCGUAAAAUUGCAUGUGAAACUGGCAGUCUUGAGUACAGUAGAGGUGGGCGGAAUUCGUGGUGUAGCGGUGAAAUGCUUAGAUAUCACGAAGAACUCCGAUUGCGAAGGCAGUUCACUGGACUGCAACUGACACUGAGGCUCGAAAGUGUGGGUAUCAAACAGGAUUAGAUACCCGGGUAGUC